GGGGGGCUGCCGAAUGUGUCAGGGAGCCAUAGCUGGGGUUUGUUCAAGCUUCCAAGCUCAUAAUCAAGAAAGAAGUGGAAUUGACCUUGAUCGGAGAAAAGAAAAGAUUAAAGACUAAAUUGCUAAAAUUUUAUAUUGUUGCAUCAAAGUAAGUUAUGUAUAAAUAAUAGUUAUAUUUUUAUAAAUUGUGAAUUAUGUUUGACAUGUGAAUUAAAUUUGAAUUGAGAUGAUGUAUUAUUUUAUAUAUAAAUUUGUUAUCUAAUCAUGCCUUUAUGCAA
Long non-coding RNA from Gossypium raimondii (Peruvian cotton), 278 nucleotides. RefSeq lists it as uncharacterized. The record is from RefSeq and is a predicted model, not a curated record. Lineage: Eukaryota; Viridiplantae; Streptophyta; Magnoliopsida; Malvales; Malvaceae. The transcript has 2 exons.